UGAUAUGGAGCAAAACCCUAAAAAGACGGUCUCAGUUCGGAUUGAAGGCUGAAAUUCGCCUUCAUGAAGCUGGAAUUGCUAGUAAUGGCAGGUCAGCAUACUGCCGUGAAUACGUUCCCGGGCCUUGUACACACCGCCCGUCACACCAUGAGAGUUGGAAAUACCCGAAGCCUGUGAGCUAACUGUAAAGAGGCAGCAGUCGAAGGUAGAGCCAAUGAUUGGGGUGAAGUCGUAACAAGGUACC
This 244-nucleotide ribosomal RNA is filed under the name uncultured bacterium. RNAcentral describes it as "partial 16S ribosomal RNA". It matches the Rfam family "Bacterial small subunit ribosomal RNA", at positions 1258 to 1500 of the family's 1533-position model. The record is from RNAcentral.